AAAAAAAAUUUCCUCCAAAAACAUAUCAAUCCACAGCAGAUUGCUAAUAAAUAGCCCCCAAUAUUUUAAAACAGGCCACGUCAUCGUAUUGGGCCCAUCGGAAGGGACGCGCGAGCGUGCGGGAAUCAGGAUUGGGGGAGGAAUGCCAACGCUAAAAUAUACGCGGUGGUAGGCUGUUUUUUAGCGUUGCUAAAAAAUUGGGGAAGGUUUGGGUGGACUGUUGGAGUUCGUUUUUU
This 236-nucleotide long non-coding RNA is filed under the name Setaria italica (foxtail millet). RNAcentral's name for it is "long non-coding RNA (SITA_LNC000869)". Lineage: Eukaryota; Viridiplantae; Streptophyta; Magnoliopsida; Poales; Poaceae. The record is from RNAcentral.